GAUGAAGAACGUAGCGAAAUGCGAUAAGUAAUGCGAAUUGCAGAAUUCAGUGAGUCAUCGAAUCUUUGAACGCACAUUGCGCCCUGUGGUAUUCCGCAGGGCAUGCCUGUUCGAGCGUCAUUUCAACCCUCAAGCUCUGCUUGGUGUUGGGCCCUGCCCGCUGCGGCCGGCCCUAAAGACAGUGGCGGUGCCGCCUGGCCCUGAACGUAGUACAUCUCUCGCUCCAGUGCCCGGUGGUAGCCUGCCAGAACCCCAACUCUCGUGGUUGACCUCGGAUCAGGUAGGGAUACCCGCUGAACUUAAGCAUAUCAAUAAGCGGAGGA
RNAcentral lists this unclassified non-coding RNA (323 nucleotides) under soil metagenome. RNAcentral describes it as "partial contains 5.8S ribosomal RNA, internal transcribed spacer 2, and large subunit ribosomal RNA". The stretch from base 1 to 120 matches the Rfam family "5.8S ribosomal RNA", at positions 35 to 154 of the family's 154-position model. The record is from RNAcentral.